CUGUGGUGCGAGCUUACCAUGCAGUCGAGCGGUAACAGGGGGUGCUUGCACCCCGCUGACGAGCGGCGGACGGGUGAGUAAUGCAUAGGAAUCUGCCCAGUAGUGGGGGAUAGCCCGGGGAAACCCGGAUUAAUACCGCAUACGCCCUUUGGGGGAAAGCAGGGGAUCUUCGGACCUUGCGCUAUUGGAUGAGCCUAUGUCGGAUUAGCUAGUUGGUGGGGUAAAGGCCUACCAAGGCGACGAUCCGUAGCUGGUCUGAGAGGAUGAUCAGCCACAUCGGGACUGAGACACGGCCCGAACUCCUACGGGAGGCAGCAGUGGGGAAUAUUGGACAAUGGGGGCAACCCUGAUCCAGCCAUGCCGCGUGUGUGAAGAAGGCUUUCGGGUUGUAAAGCACUUUCAGUGAGGAGGAAAACCUUCUGGUUAAUACCCAUGAGGCUUGACGUUACUCACAGAAGAAGCACCGGCUAACUCCGUGCCAGCAGCCGCGGUAAUACGGAGGGUGCAAGCGUUAAUCGGAAUUACUGGGCGUAAAGCGCGCGUAGGUGGUUUGAUAAGCGAGAUGUGAAAGCCCCGGGCUUAACCUGGGAACGGCAUUUCGAACUGUCAG
Molecule: ribosomal RNA, 610 nt
Filed under: Marinobacter sp.
Lineage: Bacteria; Pseudomonadati; Pseudomonadota; Gammaproteobacteria; Pseudomonadales; Marinobacteraceae
Description: bacterial SSU rRNA
Rfam family: Bacterial small subunit ribosomal RNA
Source: RNAcentral